Molecule: RNase P RNA, 371 nt
Filed under: Chitinophaga solisilvae
Lineage: Bacteria; Pseudomonadati; Bacteroidota; Chitinophagia; Chitinophagales; Chitinophagaceae
Description: Bacterial RNase P class A
Rfam family: Bacterial RNase P class A
About the family: Ribonuclease P (RNase P) is a ubiquitous endoribonuclease, found in archaea, bacteria and eukarya as well as chloroplasts and mitochondria.
Source: Rfam by way of RNAcentral
ACUACAAACCGUGCUAUCGUCUCUCAGUAUUAUGGGGGAAGGAAAGUCCGGACAGCGCAGAGCAACACACCACCUAACGGGUGGGGCCCGGCUUGCCGGGUACAGCGAGUGCCACAGAAAAUAACCGCCUCACUGCAAAGCGGGGUAAGGGUGAAAAUGUGGGGUAAGAGCCCACGGUAUAGGCAGGUAACUGUUUGUGCGGGUAAACCUUGUGUGCUGAAAUGCCAUGUAUACGGUCGUUUGAGGGCUGCUCGCCCGAUGACCGAGGGUAGGCAGAUACAGUUGACGUGUGAGCGUCAUCGCAGAUAAAUGAUAGCAAUCCCCGGCUUCGGCAGGGGAGACAGAAUCCGGCUUACAGGUUUGUAGUUUUU